This 5153-nucleotide long non-coding RNA is filed under the name Vigna radiata. Its description in RNAcentral is "long non-coding RNA (VRAD_LNC004497)". The record is from RNAcentral. Lineage: Eukaryota; Viridiplantae; Streptophyta; Magnoliopsida; Fabales; Fabaceae.
CUUACACACACACAAACAGACACACACAUCUCUUCUCCUCCACACUAUCACUCUUCAACAACACACAUUUCUUUCCCUCUACACCAUAAUUAUUUUCUAUUAUCUCUCUAAUUUAAUCACUUUUACCAUAUUACCAUUUCCUUCUUCAUAGUCCACCAUCAUCAAACACAUCUCUUCUCCUCUAUAUCACCAUCUUCACAUUCUAAAACUUCCAUUUUCACUUGCAUCUCGAUCAGGCUAUCUCCGCUUUCUCCAUCCAGGUUCUUAUUCGUCCACCUCUUUUUUUAGUAUGAAUUAGUUUGUUAAAGUUUGUUUUUAUUUGCCUUUUAUAUUUCCAUAAUUAUUUUACUAUUUUUUAUUCUACAUUUUCAUUGAUAGCAAAAGCCCACUUGCAAUCAACAAUAGAUUUUUCAAACAGUAAUGGGACAAGCUCCCAAGUUUCACUACUCUGAGGAGCACUUAGUUCAUCUGGCACACACACACACACACACACACACACACAUAUAUAUAUAUAUAUAUAUAUAUAUAUAUAUAUAGGUUAUCUAAAAAAGAAAAAGAAUAUGCACAUAAAAUCUUAAUGAUUUCCUAAAUACAAAUUAAAAUGAAUUUGUUACUCAAUUAAUUGUCAUGAUCACUUUGAAAUAAAAUGAAAGACUAAGAUGAAGAGUAUAAAUCAUUUUAUCUUUCCUAUAUAUAUCAUCAAAACAUUUUAUUAGAUGAUAAAAUUGAGAAAAUCAUUGUGAAUAUACUGCUCUUCAUCUCGUGUUUGUAUUGGAAAUUAGUCAUAUUAACCAUAACGUUGAUAGUAUUCAAGAUAAAGUGAAAGAUAAUUAGCUAUAAUGUUGAUGGUAUUUAAUUGUUGGACAAAGUAUUUCUCCAAUCUAAAACAUAAAACCUUAAGAAACAUCAUUAUGUCAAAAAUUAAGAUAAAUAAACUAAACCAAUGAGAGUAAAAGUUAUUCAGUUUUUGAACUAAAAGAUCUUAUGGUAUGCUAAUUUUGUCUUUGUCAUCUUCACUUAAAUAUAUCUCCAUCUCUAAUGCUGUGAAUCUAAUCAACAAAUUAUUUUAUUUCUAGUACUUUCGUAAUAACAAAAAAAUUGUCAUUCAUGUUGCUAAAUUUACGUCUAUCAUGAAAAUAAUAGGCAUAAAAAAUGCAGCAUGACAUUUUAGUAAAUAAAUAAACUAAGAUUAAAAUCUGACGUAUAAUAACCAGACGUAAAAAACCCAUUAUAUAUUUGGUUGUUAUAAGUCAAAAAUGUUUUAAAACAUUGUUUUCUUAUUUGACAACGAAAAGAAAGGUUUUUUUUCCUAUGCUGGAACUUUUGUUAGUAACCAAAAUAAUAGUUUUUUUCAUUUCUCGUGUGCAUUUUAUUAUUGGAAAACAACAUUUUCUUGCAUUAUUUUACUACAUUAAAGUUAGUUUCCUACACUUUUACUUUUAAAUUAUUAAUUUGUUUUUAGGAAAACUAAUCAUAGCUAAGCAUGAUUAUUUCCCUUAUUGUCUUGAUAUGAUUAUGAUGGUUUAAGGUUCGAAUUUUGUUAAAAUAGUUUGCAUUAUCAAGUAAUUUUUGUUUGAUGAUGAGAAAAUGAUGAUUGAUAUAUUCUUUUUUAUUUUGUUUGUGUACCAUUACUCAUAUUAGCCAUAAUGUUAAUAGUAUUCAAAAUACAUUGAAGAUAGAUUUGGAGUUUAAGACAAAAUCAAAGCUCAUUAAUAAGUCUCCAAUUAAAACUAUUCAUGUAUUUCAUCAUUUUUUUUAUAUUUUUUUUGUAUAGAUAUUUUUUUAAUUUUAUAUUACAUUAUAUGGAUAACUAUUUUUUUUCUUAAUUUUAUAUACAGAAUUUGGAUACAUUAUUAAUUAUAUUAAUAUUUACAAACAACCAACCUUCGAUAUUUUUUUACUAAAGAACCAUAGGUAAAUAAUAAAAAAUAUUUAAUUAUAUAGAAAAAAAAUUCAAGUUUAAAUUAUUUCAAUGUUUUGGUUUUAACUUUUAUCCUUUGAUUGUAUUUUUUCUAAUAUUUAAAUUAUUUUUGUGUAUUUACAGAGAAAAUCCAACUUUGAAAACUUAAUUAAUUGAAAAAAUCAAGUGUGAAUAAUUCACAAAUUAAAUCUAUGUUUGGGCUUAAUAUGGAAAAAUGUCCAACAGGAACCAUUCCAAUUCAGAGAACAACAAAAAUAAGAAGCUGAUCUCAUUGAAGAAAAAAUACUAUUAAAUGAUCAUCUAAAUUAUAGUUUAUUCAUCUAAAUUAUAUUUGAAGUUGAUUAAUUAUUUGAAUAUAUUGAAUUUGGUAGCUUGCAGAAGUAUAUCUUCAUUCAAAGUUGGGUCCUUUUUACAAAGUUAGCAGAAUCAACAGUGUAUAUAUUAUUAGAUUUUAUUUGGUUAUAUAUGUUUUGAGCACUCAAUUAUACCAUAAUAUUAAAAUUAAUUUUUACUGUAAUUACAGUCAUAUAAUUUUUUAAUGGUGGAUAUUUCUCUAACAUAUCUGUAUGUCGUGGAGUAACUUAUGAGGUUCGCACUGUUAUUACUCGGGUAAACAAGUAUGCUAUUAAAUUUCACUUUAAUUAGAAUUGAAUAUGAAUCUUAAAUGCAUGAUUUUAUUCAUUUUAGUUUUUUAAUUACGUUAUUUUUAAGUAAAUAUAAUUAUAGAUAUGUUAUUUAGAAAAGCUGACAUUUGUUAUUAGGAUCCAGAUACAAAAAAUUAGUGGUCAACUUUGGAAAAUAUAAAUAUUGAUUAUCAUUUAGCAGCAUUGCUCUAACUUAAUUAUUGUUAAAUUAAGUUUAAAGUUUACUUUAUGAAAUAAAUGCAAACCUUAUUUUUUAUAUAAUUAAGUUAGAUUUUAUAACAACAUAGGAAAUAAAAUAUUAGAGAAAGUGUAUUAAAAUAAUGAGAUGAAGUAUAUUAUUUUAAAAUAAUUAUAUAAUAUAAAUAGAAAUUUCUAAAGCUUGUUUCAUUAUCUAAAUACUUUUUAUUUUUUUAAAACACUGUUAUCUUCUCUUUUUCUUACUUCUCUUUAACCUUUCUCACUUCUCAAUCAUUUGUUCGAUGAUCAGAAAGUGUCUAGGCGAUCCUAGCGUUGAGGACUACCAAACUGACCGAUCAAAUUGUUUAAUCGAACAAGUACGUGGUAAACCCUUUUAUUAGCCUUUUAGGGUUUUGAUUAUGUAAAACAAUUUUGUUUUGCAUGAAUCAAGGGUUCCUCUUAUUUGUGAUUCUAAGGUUGUUCUUCAAUUGUCAAUCAGUGAAUUAAUCGACAGAGUGUUUAGAGGAUUUUGAGCUGUUGAGAUUGAGGUAAAAGAAGCUAGAUUUACUUUAAUUUGUAAUUUAGUUCCUAUUUGUGAUGAAUCUAGGUGUAUUGUGUUAAUUGAAUUGAAUUCAGAUUUUAAAGUAGACAUUUCAUGUUUAAAUUGUUUGUUUUGAGUAUGGAUUGAUGAAUGAUGUUUAUGAACUGAAUUGCAUGAUGCUUAGAUCGUUUGGAAUGUAUUAUAUGUUGGAAAUUUGUGGUAAGAAGGUUCGCUGAUGAGUAGGCAUAGUUUGCAUUUGAUUUUGGGUUAGUUUUAAAUAAGUGAAUUAGUGAAAUUUAGAUUUGGGGGUUGGGUGCUCAAAUGGUCAGUUGUAAUAGUUUGGGUAAGUCAUUUGGGACUUGCUAAAGCCCCUAAAUUGCUUAAAACUGUGCCAAAAGUGGUAGAAUGAGAUUUGGGUCUAUAAGUUAGGUGUUUUGUAGAUUUUGAGGUGUAAAUUGUUUAGUAGAAACUUUAGAAUGAUGUUUGUAAGGUUUAGAAACAAUUGUCCAAGUUCAAUUAAGUCUAUAACACAAUUUAGGAGGAUUAGAAGUUGGGGAAAAUCUUCGAAAUUGGUAAAUUCUAGGUAUGUUGGGAAAAUUCUGCAGAUUUGUUCUGCAGAUUUGUGCUGCAAAAUUAUGCAAACCCGUUGAGCGAGUGGAGUCGCUCAGCGAGUGGUCAUAAAGUCUGGCACACUGUUCUGGUAUUCGCAUAGCAAGCAGGGGCGUUGACCGAGAGGUUGAGGUCUGAGAGCACUGUGAGUUUUAUUCGAUCAGCAAAAGGGGUCGCUGAGCGAAUGUGUUGGGGGUCUAGACCACUGUUUGGAGGAUUCACACAGCGAGUUGGUGCGCUAAGCGAGAGGUUGAGAUAUGGUACCAUUGGUAGUUUUAUUCGCUCAGCGAGCUGGGUAGUUGAGCGAGUGGAUUGGAGGCUGGCGAUACUAUCAUUGGAUUCGCACUGCGAGUUGGGUCGUUUUGCGAAAGAACUCUGUGGUCGUUCAGUGAGUGUGUGCGCUGAGCGAUUGGUCCAGGUUGUAAUAUACUAUUUUCUUCUUUGUUCUUAAUUGGUUUGAGUUAUGUAAUCGAUUCAUUUGUGGAUGAGGUAUGAUUAUGUAUGAGUAUUAUAUGAGUAUCAGAGUAAAGUAUAUUGUUUCAAAUGGUGUGGAGGAGAAUUCCAAGAAGGAAUUUCUCUGUGGUGGUUGUCAAAGUUUGUAAGUAUGAAUAUGGAAAGCUCAGUCUUGAAGUUCAUCCUGACAUUCUAAUGGUCACAUAUUCUCAAGUAGAGAGAGGUGAGGCAUGUCGUGAGAAUAGUAGGAGGUCCUAGCCUAGGGGCUUUUCAUUGACCUAAGGUGAGUGAUAACGACUAACCUUGUGUGGUAGCUUAGGGUGGACCAACUGUUUCACUACAACAAGUGCACGAACUGCCAUAACUACAUAUUCAUACUAAUCCAGAUGGUCAAGUCAAUAGUUGGUUAAAUACAAAGUUAGUUUGGUUUGAUAUGGUUAUGUUUAUCUUACGUGAUUGUUUAAUUGUAUUCAUAUAUCAUUAAUUAUUUUCUUCUAGUUUACUCUUCUAUUUGUGUUAUUUGUAUGUUGUCUUUGCCUUUCUUCUCUUUGCUAUGAUCAUUUUGCGGGUGUAAGCAAAGGGGGAUAAGACUUCUUUGGAGUAUGCUUUGGAGGGUGAUGUUGCGGAUGCUUAGCUGGCAGGAUUUAUAUCUUGUAUAUAGUUUUAUUAUAACUAGUUGUAAAUAAAGUAAAAUUUUAUAGUUAUUUUGGGAUGAUCGUAAAACUUAUUUUAUUUUCCUCAUUGUCUUAACUGUUCUAUAGUAUCAUGUUUAUGAUAACUCUUUUAUAUAGUUUAUGCUACAUUUUUG